GCCGAGGUGGCGAAAUUGGUAGACGCAAGGGACUUAAAAUCCCUCGAUUAUUUAUAAUCGUGCCGGUUCGAUUCCGGCCCUCGGUA
This 86-nucleotide transfer RNA is filed under the name Fidelibacterota bacterium. RNAcentral's name for it is "tRNA-Leu". It matches the Rfam family "tRNA". Rfam says of the family: Transfer RNA (tRNA) molecules are approximately 80 nucleotides in length. The record is from RNAcentral. Lineage: Bacteria; Pseudomonadati; Fidelibacterota.